GAUGAACGCUGGCGGCGUGCCUAAUACAUGCAAGUCGAGCGAACGGACGAGGAGCUUGCUUCUCUGAUGUUAGCGGCGGACGGGUGAGUAACACGUGGAUAACCUACCUAUAAGACUGGGAUAACUUCGGGAAACCGGAGCUAAUACCGGAUGAUAUUUUGAACCGCAUGGUUCAAAAGUGAAAGACGGUCUUGCUGUCACUUAUAGAUGGGUCCGCGCUGCAUUAGCUAGUUGGUAAGGUAACGGCUUACCAAGGCAACGAUGCAUAGCCGACCUGAGAGGGUGAUCGGCCACACUGGAACUGAGACACGGUCCAGACUCCUACGGGAGGCAGCAGUAGGGAAUCUUCCGCAAUGGGCGAAAGCCUGACGGAGCAACGCCGCGUGAGUGAUGAAGGUCUUCGGAUCGUAAAACUCUGUUAUUAGGGAAGAACAUAUGUGUAAGUAACUGUGCACAUCUUGACGGUACCUAAUCAGAAAGCCACGGCUAACUACGUG
RNAcentral lists this ribosomal RNA (497 nucleotides) under uncultured bacterium. RNAcentral's name for it is "partial 16S ribosomal RNA". It matches the Rfam family "Bacterial small subunit ribosomal RNA", at positions 28 to 507 of the family's 1533-position model. The record is from RNAcentral.